GUUUCCCUUUCCCCUACAAAAUUUCCCAAAUCGUGUUUCAACCAUGAAUCCUCUACUCUGCCAGCCGAUUUACCAUCUCUUCUCUUUCAUUAAUGACGCAGGUCACACAGCUAAUUGUUACAAGAUAUAUAACCCUAUUUUCAUUUUUUUUGGCCGAUCAUCCAUGAUUUUAUUCACCAUUCAAUCUUCUAUACCAAAAAAAGAUUCAGUUUUGGUGCAUCUUAAAUUGCAUAUAAGGCAUUUGAUGAAAUGCCAUAAUGGAAAAUGUUACCAGGUGUACUUCAACCGUUGAAAUGAAGACAACCAUUUUAGAGUGUAUAUUCCAAGACCAUCAAUAUGAGGCAUCCAUUUUGCCUCGGGAUAUUUAGCAGAAAGAGGAAAUUCUUGUGAGUGUUGCCAUAUUAUCAUGUGCCGAUUUAAAUGACAUUUUUAUGUGGAGGAAUAAGGUGCAAGAAAGUUAUUCAAAUUGGAGUUUAAAGCUUACAGCCGAGUUUUUUAAGUAUUAGGUCUUCAAGUACAGAUACAGCUCAUCUUCAUCUUCAUUCCCGCAACAAUAGAGUAGAAACAUUAGUGAAAGUUUGAUUCAGUGAUGGUGGCUGCCGUCUUUGGUGUCGUUUCUGUCAUUAAGAGAAAGAUCCAAGACUAAGUUCAAGGCUCGUGAUUGUGCUCGAUGAUGGUCGCUGCAACGUUAAAUGGUUUCGUUACUCAAGACUUUUGCCUUUCAUUCUCCUACUAUUGUGAUUGCCUUCCCUCAAUGGAUGGGUCAUUUGAUGUAAAUUGAUGCUUUCUAGCCACAACAUCCUUUUUGUACCUCAAGUGUAGUAAUUGUAAUAUGGUUUUGGUCCGCAUUAACUUGGUCAGAUGCUUAGUUUAUCAAACUAUGAUGAUUUAUAUUUUUAACCUGGAUUUACAUAAAAGUUGUAUUAAUUAAUUCAUUAUCUCA
Erigeron canadensis is the source of this 943-nucleotide long non-coding RNA. RefSeq lists it as uncharacterized. The record is from RefSeq and is a predicted model, not a curated record. The transcript is spliced from 6 exons. Lineage: Eukaryota; Viridiplantae; Streptophyta; Magnoliopsida; Asterales; Asteraceae.